UACGUAGGGGGCGAGCGUUGUCCGAAGUUACUGGGCGUAAAGCGCGCGUAGGCGGUUGCUUAAGUUGGAUGUGAAAUCCUGGGGCCCAACCCCAGAACUGCAUCCAAAACUGGGCGACUUGAGGACGGGAGAGGGCAGUGGAAUUCCUGGUGUAGCGGUGAAAUGCGUAGAUAUCAGGAGGAACACCCGUGGCGAAGGCGGCUGCCUGGUCCGUAUCUGACGCUGAGGCGCGAAAGCCAGGGGAGCGAACGGGAUUAGAUACCCCGGUAGUCCGGGCCGUAAACGAUGGAUACGAGGUGUAAGUGGUAUCGACCCCACUUGUGCCGCAGCUAACGCAUUAAGUAUCCCGCCUGGGGAGUACGGCCGCAAGGUUGAA
This 376-nucleotide ribosomal RNA is filed under the name uncultured bacterium. RNAcentral describes it as "bacterial SSU rRNA". It matches the Rfam family "Bacterial small subunit ribosomal RNA", at positions 524 to 898 of the family's 1533-position model. The record is from RNAcentral.